Molecule: ribosomal RNA, 253 nt
Filed under: uncultured bacterium
Lineage: Bacteria
Description: partial 16S ribosomal RNA
Rfam family: Bacterial small subunit ribosomal RNA
Source: RNAcentral
UACGUAGGCAGCGAGCGUUGUUCGGAAUUACUGGGCGUAAAGAGUGUGUAGGCGGUGCUCUAAGUUCGGUGUGAAAUCUCCUGCUUAACUGGGAGGGUGCGCCGGAAACUGGAGUGCUUGAGCGUGGGAGAGGAAAGCGGAAUUCCUGGUGUAGCGGUGAAAUGCGUAGAUAUCAGGAGGAACACCUGUGGUGUAGACGGCUUUUCUGGACCAUAGCUGACGCUGAGACACGAAAGCGUGGGUAGCAAACAGG